This 74-nucleotide transfer RNA is filed under the name Diacronema viridis. RNAcentral's name for it is "tRNA-His". It matches the Rfam family "tRNA". Rfam says of the family: Transfer RNA (tRNA) molecules are approximately 80 nucleotides in length. Their secondary structure includes four short double-helical elements and three loops (D, anti-codon, and T loops). Lineage: Eukaryota; Haptophyta; Pavlovophyceae; Pavlovales; Pavlovaceae. The record is from RNAcentral.
GGUGGGUGUAGCUUAUCUGGUAAAGCAUCAGUUUGUGACACUGGGGACUGCGGGUUCAAGCCCCGCCACUCACC